Molecule: long non-coding RNA, 496 nt
Filed under: Gallus gallus (chicken)
Lineage: Eukaryota; Metazoa; Chordata; Aves; Galliformes; Phasianidae
Source: RNAcentral
CGAGACGGCAGUACGCAUGCGCAAGCCGCGAGACGGCAGUACGCAUGCGCGACAUCAUAGACAGCAGCACGCAUGCGCGAGCCAUGAAACGGCAGUACGCAUGCGCGACAUCAAGGACGGUGGCAGCAGAUACCGUGGCAACAACAACUCCGCCGCCUUUUAGCGGACUGCCUGGGACCGUGGGCGCGCAUCCCCUUCUCUCUUUCUUUUCUUGGCAGAGGAUGGUGGGGGGAAGAAGGGGAGACGACAAAGAAAAGCAAGGAAAACUUCGACAAACCCUCCAACCCCGUGCUAAAUGCUUUGGUAUACCUGUAAAUAAAUGAAUACAUAACCAGCAAGUUGUUGUUGUCAUGCCUUUUUUUUUUUUUAAUAUGUGUAUGUGUAUACAUUUAUAUAUACACAUGUAUAUACAUAUUUCAGCCAGCAUCUGAGGUGAUGAAAAAACAUGGUAUGAAUUGCACGCAGUGAAGCCAAGGGUGCCUUGGAACAAUUAACA